UGGGGAAUAUUGGACAAUGGGCGAAAGCCUGAUCCAGCCAUGCCGCGUGUGUGAAGAAGGUCUUCGGAUUGUAAAGCACUUUAAGUUGGGAGGAAGGGCAGUAAGCGAAUACCUUGCUGUUUUGACGUUACCGACAGAAUAAGCACCGGCUAACUCUGUGCCAGCAGCCGCGGUAAUACAGAGGGUGCAAGCGUUAAUCGGAAUUACUGGGCGUAAAGCGCGCGUAGGUGGUUCGUUAAGUUGAAUGUGAAAGCCCCGAGCUUAACUUGGGAAUUGCAUUCGAUACUGGUUAACUAGAGUGUGGGAGAGGAUGGUAGAAUUCCAGGUGUAGCGGUGAAAUGCGUAGAGAUCUGGAGGAAUACCGAUGGCGAAGGCAGCCAUCUGGCCUAACACUGACGCUGAGGUACGAAAGCAUGGGGAGCAAACAGG
Molecule: ribosomal RNA, 429 nt
Filed under: Pseudomonadota bacterium
Lineage: Bacteria; Pseudomonadati; Pseudomonadota
Description: Proteobacteria bacterium partial 16S ribosomal RNA
Rfam family: Bacterial small subunit ribosomal RNA
Source: RNAcentral